GAUGAACGCUGGCGGCGUGCCUAACACAUGCAAGUCGAGCGAACAGACGAGGAGCUUGCUCCUUUGACGUUAGCGGCGGACGGGUGAGUAACACGUGGAUAACCUACCUAUAAGACUGGGAUAACUUCGGGAAACCGGAGCUAAUACCGGAUUAUAUAUUGAACCGCAUGGUUCAAUAGUGAAAGACGGCUUUGCUUUCACUUAUAGAUGGUUCCGCGCCGCAUUAGCUAGUUGGUCAGGUAACGGCUUACCAAGGCGACGAUGCGUAGCCGACCUGAGAGGGUGAUCGGCCACACUGGAACUGAGACACGGUCCAGACUCCUACGGGAGGCAGCAGUAGGGAAUCUUCCGCAAUGGGCGAAAGCCUGACGGAGCAACGCCGCGUGAGUGAUGAAGGUCUUCGGAUCGUAAAGCUCUGUUAUUAGGGAAGAACAAAUGUGUAAGUAACUAUGCACGUCUUGACGGUACCUGAUCAGAAAGCCACGGCUAACUACGUG
RNAcentral lists this ribosomal RNA (497 nucleotides) under uncultured bacterium. RNAcentral's name for it is "partial 16S ribosomal RNA". It matches the Rfam family "Bacterial small subunit ribosomal RNA", at positions 28 to 507 of the family's 1533-position model. The record is from RNAcentral.